This 233-nucleotide ribosomal RNA is filed under the name uncultured bacterium. RNAcentral's name for it is "partial 16S ribosomal RNA". It matches the Rfam family "Bacterial small subunit ribosomal RNA", at positions 103 to 334 of the family's 1533-position model. The record is from RNAcentral.
CGGGUGAGUAACGCGUGAGGAACCUGCCUCAAAGAGGGGGACAACAGUUGGAAACGACUGCUAAUACCGCAUAAGCCCACAGCUCGGCAUCGAGCAGAGGGAAAAGGAGUGAUCCGCUUUGAGAUGGCCUCGCGUCCGAUUAGCUAGUUGGUGGGGUAAUGGCCCACCAAGGCGACGAUCGGUAGCCGGACUGAGAGGUUGAACGGCCACAUUGGGACUGAGACACGGCCCAG